UGGAAGUGCUGCAGGACCUGAUGAGAAAAACUUUCCCUGUUCAAAAUGAGAAAAUGCACUCUCCAUAUGAGUCAAGAGAGAGAGAACUAUGCCAAGGAAUGUAAAUGAAGUCGGUGCAGAUUUACAGUUUAGAGUUUGAGAUCCCAGAUGUUCCUUUAUCAGCACUGGAGGGGAAUCAAAAUUAUAAGUAGGAGAAUAUCACAGGACCUGCUGCAGCUCCCCGUCUGGAUGCCCCACAACCACUCAUGUCAAUUACCUGAAGCUCUUCCUAACCAUGUACUUCCCGAUGACUUCCUGUGAUACACAUUACCAGAAGUAAGCCAGACCUCAUCAGU
Molecule: long non-coding RNA, 335 nt
Organism: Chinchilla lanigera (long-tailed chinchilla)
Lineage: Eukaryota; Metazoa; Chordata; Mammalia; Rodentia; Chinchillidae
Exons: 3
Source: RefSeq, a predicted model, not a curated record